AAGUGACUGAUAAUAUAACUCUUCUGUUGAAUCAAGUAAAACGGAUAAAGGGAUGUUUAAGCAAGACAAUCUUGGCAAGUCAAAAGGUUUUCCACCAGCUUUGAUUACUACAGGAUCUUUAAAUGAUGAAACACAGAUAACGAGUCAGUUAAACAUGUUUUAUCCUGUUAGUGAAGUCUGUCCCUUAUUUUAACCCUGC
This is a long non-coding RNA of Sander lucioperca (pikeperch), 199 nucleotides long. RefSeq lists it as uncharacterized. The transcript has 3 exons. NCBI's taxonomy places the organism in Eukaryota, Metazoa, Chordata, Actinopteri, Perciformes, Percidae. The record is from RefSeq and is a predicted model, not a curated record.